AGACGGUGGCCAGCUGCUCUUGGAACCGUCCCUCUCCAGCCCACCUCUUUGUACCAUGCUUCAGUGCAGGACACUCUCACCUCGAAUAUUGCAGCAGCCCCUUCCCUGGUCUCCCGUAGCGCCUACCCCGCACUGAGGCGUCCCUGGGGAAGGGAGAGGCCAGGCGGCUGGAGUCUGCUUCCUAUGGGGGCUGCCCCUGGUCUCCGGCCUUCUCCCUUCUCCUCUCCAGUCCUGCCCUCAUAGGUAGCGAGAGGGGUCGAGGGCCUUUAAGAAGCUUCCCGAGAUCUUCUGAAUCCUCAGCAAUCUCCUGCCCUGGCAUUCAAGGCCUGCCUGUCUAGGAUCCUGUCUCUGCAGCUCUGCCCACGUGACCGUAUCCUUGGAAGAAAAAAAAAAUGGGGAUGCACAAAGUGACCAGCACAGGGUAUUCGUGAUGACCGGGGAACAGAGAUUGAGAAAGCAAGAGCCUUCCUGGCAAAUCUGGGUUCAGACGCGGCAGAGACAGCUGUUUCCAGCCACUGCUAUGAACCCAUCUAAGUGAAAUUGUGAGGACUAAGGAGAGAGGCACCCAUGACUGCCUUAAUCCACUCCUACCCAUCGUCUCUUCACCCAUCCACCCAUCCUUGCUGCAGACCUUUACUGGGCACCUGUGCCAGGAGACCAUCACUGCCCAUCAGAAGCUCAUACAGGGAGAAGCAGUGGCCACAGCAGAAGGCGUCCCGGGUCCUAGAGAGCACCUGGAGAACAAGGGAGAGCUGCAGAAACCGCCCUGUCUGCAUGUGUGCCCUCAUGUUCUUGGGUGCAUGUCUGUGUUUGUGUGUGUGUUUGCUUAUGUGCAUGUGCAGUGUGUGUGUGUUCGAGACAGAGCGAGACUGAGAGUGCAAGUGGGUGUAAGCACACACACCCACCCGUCAGCCCUGCCUGUCUGCUCAGAGUUUUGCCUGUCACCCGGCCACGCCCUGUGACCCCCCUCCUCGGCUGGGUGCAGCCAGGACACCUGUUGCCAGCUGCGAGCACCUGCCUGGUUGCUGCGCCCGUGUCCUGUGCAUGUUCCAAGCCAGCCCCCUGGGGUAAUCCAGGCCAUGACUCAGGAACGUCAUGUUGGGACACCCGAGACCCCCAGCCCCUGCCCUAGGGGUCAGGGCAGCAGGUCCCAUCUCCCUUAGCUGGGCUGGGCCCAGGCAGCCUGUAUCACUGUUUGCUCCAGAGGCUGGGUGCGUCCUGCUUGGGGGCUGUGUGAGGCCCGCUUGUUUUCACCCACAGAUUCCCAGGGUUCUCAAGGCAGAGGAAAGCGACAAUUAGGGCAACACCCAUGUUGGUUGGAUCAGAGUGAAUCCCAGGCCUGCUUGGGAGGCUUUAGGCACUCAGCUCGGCCAUCUCUGAGGGUAAGGGCAUGUCAGCCACUCUGCUGGGGCAUCUCUGUGCUCAGCACCAUGUGGGCUCAUCACAGACACAAGAGUGCGUCCUCUCAGAGGGAAUGGUCUGGCAGGUUUUGCCUGUUUUCCUGCUCACAGGUUGAAUUUCUUGGCCAGCAUCCCAUAGCCAGGCCAGAGCGGAGCAGGGCUGCCUGCUGCACCCAGUGGCUUCUUGUCAAUCUCGGCCUCUCGUUCCCUGCCUGGGAGAGGGUCUCAGUGUGAAGGGCAGAGGGGUCUUCUGGAACCAGCCAGUGCUGUGUCGGAGAGAAAGACCAGGAGGAAAUUGGAGGGGUACAGGCCUGAAACUCUCCCGCUGCCUUGCCAGGCACCCAAACCUGCUUGACCUGAGUGUCUUUCCGGCGGCGGGUGGGGGGGAGGGGGGUGGGGCGUGCUGCAUCGCUUACUUUGCCUGUGUCUUAGGGGAGCCUACCCAUUGCCCUCCAGCACCGGCGAACAAAGACCCCCACGGUGGCCAGGCCUGUGCGGGGUGUAAACAGUGUCCCAGGGUGUCUUGGUGUCCUCACUACUACAUCCUCCACGUUCCAGAGGAGAAACUGAGGCCCGAGGACACCCAGAAUUUCCCAGGGUCACACCAAGGGGAAACAGGUGACGUUGAAGUGGACACAGGGUGAUGAGAGGGGUGCAGAAAAGGAGAUACCCUGGCAUGCCAAGCCUGGGGCUGGUUGUCCACAUCCAGGAAGGUCCCUGCAAGGUUGUGGCACCUUUUCAUGGCAAGCAGACGCAGCACCAUGAAUACCCACAGCCACUCCUAAGGGCCCCUUCAUGCGGUGGCUGUGCCCAGCACUGGGCACGCAGGAACCAAGGCCCAGAGAGUUCUGGGUGGGUGGGGAGAGCUAGAGCCUUCCUUCUGGGCUCCAGGGCUUUUCAGUAGCACCACUGGCUUUCUAGAAGGUUGCUGUGUGAUUGGAAACUUGUGCUUUGAGAUACGAUUAUCUGUGUGGGGAGGAGGUUGUACUGGAGUCAGCAGUGAGGGGUGGCAGCACUAGGCCAGAAAUGGAUGUGGGGUCCUCUUGCGUGGAGCUGCCACUCCCCCAGCCACUCUGUCCUUACAACCAAAACCCCAAAAGGGGGCUGAGCCGGCCCUUGUGAGUGAGAGUAGAGGAGAAGGAAGGGGCUGUGGGGGGAGAGAAGCACAUGGAGCUGGCCCACGUGGAGAGAGGGACCCUGGGUGGCAGGGUGGCGUUGGGGGAGAUUUGCCAUCAGAGUGACCUUAGUGACUGUGCCACCUCGACCCUGACCUGGGCAAUGCCUGUGAGGGCACUGGGGCCCAAGGUCCCAGAGGAGCAGGGGAACUAAGAUGUGGCUCUCACAGAACCUCAAAUGUAUCUCCAGACAUCCACAUAUCUGCACCUGACACACAUUUCUGGAACAGCUACUUGGCCAAGCACCACCAGUUUGUCUCUAUGCCCCUCUUGCUGGGGAGCCCAGUCUGGGGCAAAGGAAGGCACAGGGGCAUCCGCUCCAGGCUUUCCAGAAUAGGCAGAACACAGAAGGGGUGCCCGCCGGACACGCGGAGGGAGGAGAUGAGAAGAGUCCCCAGCGCCAGAAGGGGUGGAGACGGCCUUGCUGGGGCAGGGCCACAGGUCACCUGCUGCUGGGCUCUGGCUGCAGUGGGAAACAACCAAAGUUUUAAAAAGAGGGUGAACCUCUUAGGAAAGGAAAUGACAUUUAUAAAGAGGUAGGGACGUGGGGGCAGGGAUGAUGGCCUUGGUGGCCACAGCUCUUAAACCAGUGGGGAGGAGGCAGCCACGCCAGCAUGGUGAGAUCCAAGCCGCAGUGACGGGGCUGCACUCGCUCCAGGUAGAUUGCUCAAAUGGAAGCUUCUGGAUGGAUAACUAAGGCAGCACAACCCCCAGUCAUUGUCUGAGGGCCACCCUGGGGGAUGGAGCGAGUGCAGGCCAAGUGGAUGCAGGGCCCACGGCCAGUUUCCAGGGUGAGCUGCAGGGCAAGCCGUGGGAAGCCCCAGAGGCAGACGCUGAGGGAUGGGCACCCCAAGAGAGUCCAGGGAUCCGAGGCCACCUGGGUGGAGCCCGGACAGCGUCUACUCCAGGGAGCAAAGCUGAGGCAGGAGCCGAGGGCUUUCCAGUGGAUGUGGAGACUUCGGCUUACUCCCGCACUGACUUUAUCCCAUUUCUGAGCCUGUCGGCACGUGUAGAGCAUUUUGGGCUCAGUUUCUCUAGAGACUAACUGUGGCCUCCCAUGGGGUGGGGACAGGACAGUCUCCCGGCUGCAUGGAAUGGGAUGCCGACCGAGGGACGGGCUCUCUCUUAAAGACUUGCCACCACACCUCUCUUGUCCAUGCCAGGCUUCUGGGGUCCCCUCUGCUGCAGGUGCUUCGGGAGUCUCAGUGGUUCUUCAGGGCAAAGCUGGCCCUGACCGUGUGCUGCAUGCCCGGAGGUCUGACAUCGGUGCUGCUGAGUGGCCUGCCGUGGUUCUCUUGGUUUCCCAUCUUGCAAAGAGUCGGUGAACUCUCACCUGCUCUUGUCUCCUCGUCUCUGUGCCCUGUCCUCCUGCGGGGCUUGGGAAACCAUAGGUGAUAAACACAUGAGCCAAUCUGCCAUCUCCACUGGAGCCAAUGCUCUUUCUGUGUUCCCAUUGGCCUGCCUAGGACUGAGGUCAGCUCCAGGGUCAGAGGCAGGACUGGAGUUGGGUUCUAACUGAGGCAGAGACAGGGCUUGGGAGAAGAAAUCAAGGUGGAGGGCAGAGGCUCCAGGUCUUUGCCAGGCUCACCUCAGAAGUGGGUGUGUCAGGCUGUCCAGAGUGGAGUGCACAGAAGCUGGGGCUUUGACAAGGGCAGGGUGACCAGUCCAGGCUGGCCUCAAAGGCAAGAGCUUGACUGCAGGGCCAGCAGGCGUGUGAUGUGGGUGGGCCCUAAGGAGGCUGAGGGAGAGGAUAAACUGUGAAGAGCCAGCAGCCCAGAAGCUAAAUGCAGGGAGGCAGAGAAGACAGGAGAGAUGGAGGCUUGCAGGACCUGGUGGUUGGGGAGGGCCAGUGACCAGGUGUUUAGAAGCAGCACCUCCUGUGAUUGGGGCUGAGGGUGAACUCUGCUUUCAAGCAGAGGUGGUUUGUCGUGGGUCUUCCAUGAUGACACCAGGUCAAGGUAGGCUGUUAGCACUGAGGCCUGUGGGAAGGCGAGGCCCGUGGGCAGAGUCCCAGAAUGGGAGGAAAAUGAAGACAGCCACUGCAGGGACUUGGGUGUCAUUCUGAAGGAAGCCACUUAAUGGUAAAUGGAGCAACAACAUGGUAGCCUUUCCUCUGGGGGAGCCCAGAGACAAGGGGGGUCUGGGGAGGCAGGCAGGCAGGCAGGCAGGUCAGGCCAGGGAGGGGCUGUGCCCAGCAGGGAAUGGAUGGCACACUCCCUCCCAGAAAGGCUGCUGCAGGGCUCAGCACUCUGAACCUUAAAAGGUUUACCCAACAGAGCCUCCAGAUGCUCAGAGUCUUGCAGGCUCAGAACAAGAAUUGUCAACUUGCCAAGAUGAAUCUGUCUCUCGGGGGAGGACCCACACAGAACAAACGUUUGAAGCAGAAGUUUGCUUGGUAAACAUGGAAUCGGAACAUGGGAAUUGGGCCACUGGGAUAUUCAAUUGCGUCAGACCAUUGUAGCUGAUACUCCUGGACAGAGGGGCUUUGCCAACUGGACAGAUAUAUGAAGUGUUGCUGACCGAGCUCCUUGCUCUGUGUGGGAGGGAUCUUGCCAGCUCCAGCCUUGGUGGGUCUCCUUUUUCUGUUUCCAAGCUUAAAUAAGCACUUGGCUGUUCUGAUUAGCACUUUUAAAAGCUGUGUUAAUAAGUUCAAUUAAAAUAGAAGAAUCUCU
Molecule: long non-coding RNA, 5247 nt
Organism: Homo sapiens (human)
Lineage: Eukaryota; Metazoa; Chordata; Mammalia; Primates; Hominidae
Exons: 3
Source: RefSeq, a predicted model, not a curated record